GCUCAGGACGAACGCUGGCGGCGUGCCUAAUACAUGCAAGUCGAGCGAACAGAAGGGAGCUUGCUCCCGGAUGUUAGCGGCGGACGGGUGAGUAACACGUGGGUAACCUGCCUGUAAGACUGGGAUAACUCCGGGAAACCGGAGCUAAUACCGGAUAGUUCCUUGAACCGCAUGGUUCAAGGAUGAAAGACGGUUUCGGCUGUCACUUACAGAUGGACCCGCGGCGCAUUAGCUAGUUGGUGGGGUAAUGGCUCACCAAGGCGACGAUGCGUAGCCGACCUGAGAGGGUGAUCGGCCACACUGGGACUGAGACACGGCCCAGACUCCUACGGGAGGCAGCAGUAGGGAAUCUUCCGCAAUGGACGAAAGUCUGACGGAGCAACGCCGCGUGAGUGAUGAAGGUUUUCGGAUCGUAAAGCUCUGUUGUUAGGGAAGAACAAGUGCGAGAGUAACUGCUCGCACCUUGACGGUACCUAACCAGAAAGCCACGGCUAACUACGUGCCAGCAGCCGCGGUAAUACGUAGGUGGCAAGCGUUGUCCGGAAUUAUUGGGCGUAAAGGGCUCGCAGGCGGUUUCUUAAGUCUGAUGUGAAAGCCCCCGGCUCAACCGGGGAGGGUCAUUGGAAACUGGGAAACUUGAGUGCAGAAGAGGAGAGUGGAAUUCCACGUGUAGCGGUGAAAUGCGUAGAGAUGUGGAGGAACACCAGUGGCGAAGGCGACUCUCUGGUCUGUAACUGACGCUGAGGAGCGAAAGCGUGGGGAGCGAACAGGAUUAGAUACCCUGGUAGUCCACGCCGUAAACGAUGAGUGCUAAGUGUUAGGGGGUUUCCG
Molecule: ribosomal RNA, 831 nt
Filed under: Bacillus amyloliquefaciens
Lineage: Bacteria; Bacillati; Bacillota; Bacilli; Caryophanales; Bacillaceae
Also listed under: 1 other name
Description: bacterial SSU rRNA
Rfam family: Bacterial small subunit ribosomal RNA
Source: RNAcentral